GAGUUUGAUCUUGGCUCAGGAUGAACGCUAGCGGCAGGCUUAAUACAUGCAAGUCGAGGGGCAGCAGGUGUAGCAAUACAUGCUGGCGACCGGCAAACGGGUGCGGAACACGUACAGAACCUUCCUUUAAGUGGGGGAUAGCCCAGGGAAACUUGGAUUAAUACCCCUUAACAUUAUGUGAUGGCAUCAUUAUAUAAUUAAAGCUCCGGCGCUUAAAGAUGGCUGUGCGGCUGAUUAGGUAGUUGGCGGGGUAACAGCCCACCAAGCCUGCGAUCAGUAACUGGUGUGAGAGCACGACCAGUCACACGGGCACUGAGACACGGGCCCGACUCCUACGGGAGGCAGCAGUAAGGAAUAUUGGGCAAUGGACGCAAGUCUGACCCAGCCAUGCCGCGUGAAGGAUGACGGCCCUCUGGGUUGUAAACUUCUUUUAUCUGGGACGAAAAAAGGGGAAUUCUUUCUCAACUGACGGUACCAGAUGAAUAAGCACCGGCUAACUCCGUGCCAGCAGCCGCGCGGU
This 520-nucleotide ribosomal RNA is filed under the name uncultured bacterium. RNAcentral's name for it is "bacterial SSU rRNA". It matches the Rfam family "Bacterial small subunit ribosomal RNA", at positions 9 to 521 of the family's 1533-position model. The record is from RNAcentral.